UUUAUAAAGGGUCAAAGAACGACGUUUUGAAGACAACCAACGAACACAACUAUUUCAAGACGUUAUACAGAAAACAAGAUACAAUGUUGAUAAGCUAGUAACGGCAUUUUCACAAAAUUAAAUGCUGCAAGAAGGCUUGGAGAUUUGCCCAACAAAGUAAACAACUAAUUCUGGUGUAUCCACAUCUCAUCCUUUGACAUUACACCCUAAUGACUUUUGUCUUCUCAACCUGGCUUAUCUCUGAACUCAAACUUUCUGUAAGAUGAACUACAGCAGGAAAGAAAAGAUGAAGCUCAAGAUUCAAGAAUAUGAAUUAUUUUUACUUCUUAGCUUGUCUUUGAACUCAAAGACGUCCCGUAACCUGAGCCGGAAGGUAGAGAAGGUGAAGAUAGAACAUGAACGAAUUUUCUUUGUAAGGUAUAUGUACUUAAACUGGGCAGGAUUCGUGGUGUCAGUAUAA
Limulus polyphemus (Atlantic horseshoe crab) is the source of this 460-nucleotide long non-coding RNA. RefSeq lists it as uncharacterized. The record is from RefSeq and is a predicted model, not a curated record. Lineage: Eukaryota; Metazoa; Arthropoda; Merostomata; Xiphosura; Limulidae. The transcript has 3 exons.